CGCGGGGUGGAGCAGUCUGGUCGCUCGUCGGGCUCAUAACCCGAAGGUCGUAGGUUCGAAUCCUGCUCCCGCAACCA
RNAcentral lists this transfer RNA (77 nucleotides) under Craterilacuibacter sinensis. RNAcentral describes it as "Neisseriaceae bacterium B2N2-7 tRNA-Met". It matches the Rfam family "tRNA". Rfam says of the family: Transfer RNA (tRNA) molecules are approximately 80 nucleotides in length. The record is from RNAcentral. Lineage: Bacteria; Pseudomonadati; Pseudomonadota; Betaproteobacteria; Neisseriales; Neisseriaceae.